This 736-nucleotide ribosomal RNA is filed under the name Gordonia sp. YIM 63660. Its description in RNAcentral is "bacterial SSU rRNA". It matches the Rfam family "Bacterial small subunit ribosomal RNA", at positions 56 to 804 of the family's 1533-position model. Lineage: Bacteria; Bacillati; Actinomycetota; Actinomycetes; Mycobacteriales; Gordoniaceae. The record is from RNAcentral.
UGCAAGUCGAACGGAAAGGCCCAGCUUGCUGGGUACUCGAGUGGCGAACGGGUGAGUAACACGUGGGUGAUCUGCCCCUGACUUUGGGAUAAGCCUGGGAAACUGGGUCUAAUACCGGAUAUUCAUUUUUCCUCGCAUGGGGAUUUGUGGAAAGCUUUUGCGGUUGGGGAUGGGCCCGCGGCCUAUCAGCUUGUUGGUGGGGUAAUGGCCUACCAAGGCGACGACGGGUAGCCGACCUGAGAGGGUGAUCGGCCACACUGGGACUGAGACACGGCCCAGACUCCUACGGGAGGCAGCAGUGGGGAAUAUUGCACAAUGGGCGCAAGCCUGAUGCAGCGACGCCGCGUGAGGGAUGACGGCCUUCGGGUUGUAAACCUCUUUCAGCUCCGACGAAGCGCAAGUGACGGUAGGAGCAGAAGAAGCACCGGCCAACUACGUGCCAGCAGCCGCGGUAAUACGUAGGGUGCAAGCGUUGUCCGGAAUUACUGGGCGUAAAGAGCUCGUAGGCGGUUUGUCGCGUCGUCUGUGAAAUUCUGCAGCUUAACUGCAGGCGUGCAGGCGAUACGGGCAGACUUGAGUACUACAGGGGAGACUGGAAUUCCUGGUGUAGCGGUGAAAUGCGCAGAUAUCAGGAGGAACACCGGUGGCGAAGGCGGGUCUCUGGGUAGUAACUGACGCUGAGGAGCGAAAGCGUGGGUAGCGAACAGGAUUAGAUACCCUGGUAGUCCACGCCGUA